UAGGGAAUCUUCGGCAAUGGGGGCAACCCUGACCGAGCAACGCCGCGUGAGUGAAGAAGGUUUUCGGAUCGUAAAGCUCUGUUGUAAGAGAAGAACGUGUGUGAGAGUGGAAAGUUCACACAGUGACGGUAACUUACCUGAAAGGGACGGCUAACUACGUGCCAGCAGCCGCGGUAAUACGUAGGUCCCGAGCGUUGUCCGGAUUUAUUGGGCGUAAAGUGAGCGCAGGCGGUUUAAUAAGUCUGAAGUUAAAGGCAGUGGCUUAACCAUUGUUCGCUUUGGAAACUGUUAAACUUGAGUGCAGAAGGGGAGAGUGGAAUUCCAUGUGUAGCGGUGAAAUGCGUAGAUAUAUGGAGGAACACCGGUGGCGAAAGCGGCUCUCUGGUCUGUAACUGACGCUGAGGCUCGAAAGCGUGGGGAGCAAACAGG
This 429-nucleotide ribosomal RNA is filed under the name bacterium. Its description in RNAcentral is "partial 16S ribosomal RNA". It matches the Rfam family "Bacterial small subunit ribosomal RNA", at positions 355 to 776 of the family's 1533-position model. The record is from RNAcentral.